AACGAACGCUGGCGGCGUGCUUAACACAUGCAAGUCGAACGUGAAAGGCUUCGGCCGAGUAAAGUGGCGCACGGGUGAGUAACGCGUGGGAAUCUACCCUAGAGCGGGGGACAACCCGGGGAAACCCGGGCUAAUACCGCAUACGUCCUACGGGAGAAAGAGGGCCUCUGCUUGCACGCUCUCACUCCAGGAUGAGCCCACGUCCGAUUAGCUAGUUGGUAGGGUAAAGGCCUACCAAGGCCACGAUCGGUAGCUGGUCUGAGAGGAUGAUCAGCCACACUGGGACUGAGACACGGCCCAGACUCCUACGGGAGGCAGCAGUGGGGAAUAUUGGACAAUGGGCGCAAGCCUGAUCCAGCAAUGCCGCGUGUGUGAAGAAGGCCUGCGGGUUGUAAAGCACUUUCAGU
RNAcentral lists this ribosomal RNA (407 nucleotides) under uncultured bacterium. RNAcentral describes it as "bacterial SSU rRNA". It matches the Rfam family "Bacterial small subunit ribosomal RNA", at positions 29 to 440 of the family's 1533-position model. The record is from RNAcentral.